GUGGGAUACUGAUGGAAGGAAAGAGUGAAAAUGGUGGUGUGCGUAAAAUA
Molecule: transfer RNA, 50 nt
Filed under: Corallorhiza odontorhiza
Lineage: Eukaryota; Viridiplantae; Streptophyta; Magnoliopsida; Asparagales; Orchidaceae
Description: partial tRNA-Phe
Source: RNAcentral